GGGCCGUAGCUCAGUUGGGAGAGCGCUUGAAUGGCAUUCAAGAGGUCGAGGGUUCGAAUCCCUUCGGCUCC
This 71-nucleotide transfer RNA is filed under the name marine eukaryotic metagenome. It matches the Rfam family "tRNA". Rfam says of the family: Transfer RNA (tRNA) molecules are approximately 80 nucleotides in length. The record is from RNAcentral.